This is a long non-coding RNA of Harmonia axyridis, 1290 nucleotides long. RefSeq lists it as uncharacterized. The transcript is spliced from 2 exons. The record is from RefSeq and is a predicted model, not a curated record. Lineage: Eukaryota; Metazoa; Arthropoda; Insecta; Coleoptera; Coccinellidae.
AUAUCCAACGUGUUGGACCCGAGGUUCAAGAAAAUGUAUUUCCAAAGUCCAUUGAAUUGCUCGAAGGCAAUACAAAUCGUUAAUGAUUUAAUGGGAAAUAAUACUUCCAAUGAUACAAGAGUUGCUCAGGCAGUUGAGGUUGAGAAGGAACCUGUUGAGGGAGCCGCAUUCAGUUUAUGGGCAGGUCAUGAACGACUUGUUUCAAAUGAAACCCGAAUAGAGGACAAUAUGUCAGAACUCUCAAUAUAUUUGAGAAAUUCGGUUAUAUCACUGAAAGAGAAUCCUUUGAGAUGGUGGAGAGAAAAAAGUGAAAACUAUCCCACACUUUCGAAAAUCGCUAUUAAAUAUCUCUCUGUUGUGGCUACAUCAGUUCCAUCUGAGCGUUUGUUUUCGAAAGCUGGGCAAACGCUCUCCCAACAAAGGAACAGGCUGAAAGGAAAACGACUUUCCAAAAUUUUAUUUCUGGAAUCCAUAAAUAAAGCAACUUGGGACUUGUAACAGUUGUAACCUCUUAUAAUUUUUGCGCUCUUAAUUUUUUCAUUCAAAUUUCCAUUUUAUGUUCUAGUUAUCUGUAUUUUUUUUCGAAAUAUAAAAAUUUUUUAGUAACAAUUGAAAUUAAUUUGGUAUAUGUGAAUCAAAUAUAUUAAUUUAAUAAAUUCCCGUUCAUUGAGAGUCUGAAAACAUCGAGAGAUUCACAUACAUCGAUGUUCACAAACAUCGAUGUUCAAUUAUCGAUGUUUACUUAACAUCGGUGGUUCGUUCCGAUGUUAUCAUCGAUGUUGAACAUCGAUGGUGAGCUAUCGAUGUCCCAUCCCAAUUUGUGGGUACGAAAUCUAAAUUCAGAUUUGUUACCAGCACCGGAAGUAUGGAAGGAUUAUGUUGACAUUGACAGCAGCCUUAUGACAUACGAAGAACCCACAGAUGAAAAUAUUGUCAAAAAUAUAACAGAAAAUGAGCAGUAUGAAAGUGAUGGAGAAGAAGAAAUCGAAGAAGAUCGAACGCCUACAGCAGAAGAAGCUCUGAAAGCUGCAGACUUACUAUCGAAAUUUGUUCACAGUCAGAUGGAAAGUGAUAAUUUGAACUGGGCCAUGUCUACCUUGCAUAAUGGUAUUAGGAGCUUCUAUUAUAAUUGCAAGAAAAAACAGAUGCAAACUAAAAUUACAGAUUUCUUUAGUAAAAAAUAAAAAAAAAUUACAUAUUGUACAUAUUUAGUAUUUUUGUAAUAGACGAUGUUUUUUUAUUAUUUUUUUUUAUUAAAAGAAUCGUACAAUUAAGGGCCUUUUUUUCAAA